AUCAUCAGACCAUUCUGAAGAGGAGGAGUUGGCACAGUUACUUCUCCUCUCUGAGCCUCGAUCUCCCUGCCGGCAAAAUGGGGAUCCUUGUCCCAGCUCCACUCACUCUAUAGGGUUCGUUUGAGGCUCAUGGAAUGAAAAGAUCUAAAGAAGUCUGGCCAGAGGGACACUGAGAUGAGCAAUGUGGUUGGAGGAGAGGAUACUGACCCAAGAAUUCUCUGGAUAAGAAGAAGGAGGAGGGGAAGCCUGAAGUGGAUGGGUCGAGCCUCAGCUGUGGAAGAAUUGCUAAUUACAGCCACCAUAAGGAAAUAUCAAUGAUGGACGUCAAUAUUAUUGCCUCCUGCAUCCCUGCCUGUUUAUUUGGAGAUGAAAAGCGCCCUAGGGUCAUCUCUCCAGGACGAAGAUGAGUGAUGACAGAAGGGAGGAGAGCUACACAUGGAGAAAAGGGCAUCCUCCAGCUGGAUUCAUUCAUGAAACCAGGACCCAUUUCCUCUGGGCAGAGUUCUCUCCACUGAGGGCCCAGGGCUGGGGCUGAGGGCAAAGGAACCUGCACAGGGAGGAGGAACUAGUGAUCCUGCUCCCAGCCCUGGUUCACCAAGUGACUGCAUGUAUGCCUCUUUGUGCCUCAGUUAACUCAUCUGAUAAAUGGGUAUGACAAUUCCA
This 663-nucleotide long non-coding RNA is filed under the name Homo sapiens (human). RNAcentral's name for it is "non-protein coding LINGO1-AS2:4". Lineage: Eukaryota; Metazoa; Chordata; Mammalia; Primates; Hominidae. The record is from RNAcentral.